This 98-nucleotide ribosomal RNA is filed under the name Diaphorina citri (Asian citrus psyllid). Lineage: Eukaryota; Metazoa; Arthropoda; Insecta; Hemiptera; Psyllidae. The record is from RNAcentral.
GACAGCGGCUUUGUCACGUUGAAUACACCAGUUCUUGUUGGAUCACUGAAGUUAAGCAACAUCGAGCGUGGAUAGUACUACGACCUGUACCAAAGGCU